GAAAAUCUCAGCAUUUUUUUUAAAGAAGAUGGAUUCUUGCAUUAGCUUAAACAUGUGCCUUUUUUUUUUUUUUUUUAACUAUACCAAUGUAAUUAGACAUAAACGUAGGGCUAAAAUUAAUUUGGAUUAGAUGGCGGUGGAACUAAAUUGAUAGGUAAAGUAGGGCUACCCACCGUCACCGGCUCACCCUCACCCACCGGCACGCCGCUUCAGGAAUUUGACCUUCAGGAACAGAUUCUUUGCUUCAGCAAAAAGGGUUCCAGGAUUUUUCCUGUCCAUUUUAGAUCUGUGUUCACUUUGAUAUUAAUCUGUUCAGUUAUGUUCGUCAUCCUCAGCCUCAGAUCGUUGUUCACAGAGCAAUUUCAUCGUAAUCAGCCUCAGAUCAGGGAUAUGGCUGAAUAUUUGAUGGUUGCUGGCAUUAAGAAACAAACUCUGACAGGGCAGAAAACGGGCGGUUAAGUUCUGGUUCAGAACUCCUUGGUAAGUAUGCUUUGCUUCACUCUAACAGCCAUCCCCACCAAUAUGUCGAAGUUAGCUAAAUCUUGGUAGCGUAAUUAUCAUUGCCUAUGAAGUUUGCUCCAUACGUGGAACCUUAAGGCCACCACACAUUCCUUACAUCAAAAUUAUAUACAUGGCCGCUUAUGGUAAGUAUGCUUUUCUUCACUCUAACAACCAUCCCCACCAAUAUGUCGAAGUUAGCUAAACCUUGGUAGUGUAAUUGUCAUUGCCUAUGAAGUUUGCUCCAUACGUGGAACCUUAAGGCCACCACACAUUCCUUACAUAAAAAAUAUAUACAUG
Molecule: long non-coding RNA, 798 nt
Organism: Morus notabilis
Lineage: Eukaryota; Viridiplantae; Streptophyta; Magnoliopsida; Rosales; Moraceae
Exons: 3
Source: RefSeq, a predicted model, not a curated record